RNAcentral lists this long non-coding RNA (4278 nucleotides) under Pan troglodytes (chimpanzee). RNAcentral describes it as "lincRNA". Lineage: Eukaryota; Metazoa; Chordata; Mammalia; Primates; Hominidae. The record is from RNAcentral.
AAAAAAUCAAGAACAGAAGUCUCUCAACAUUUAAGUUUUACAAACAAAUAGAAUCUGAGCCACUGGGUUAAACAUGACAAACGACACACAGUAACAAAUAUUGAAGACAUCGUAAUGCCAAAGCAACAGAAGCAGCACCGGAAAUGUUGCUGAGGCCACCAUUUAAUUAACGCAAGUUGAACAUAUGGCUUUGGUUACAUGUGGUUCCAGGCCGGAGGCAUGAAAGUCAGUGUUUGUGGGAAAGCCAGGAGGAAAAGCUCCUCUCCCCACCCCCUUCUUGUCACUCCAGGUUCUGGUGACCCCAUCUCAGGACACGGCCUCCCAUUUCACUCCUGCACCAACCCCACUCUUGUAACACUGCACAUGCAAGAUGUGAGCAUCUUCAAAGUACGAAUAUUGCCUUCUUCAUUUUAGAAUCCAUGAUGUGCUUGUGGGGAGAAUGAAUGAAUGCUCAAACAUGAAUGGAGAGAGACAGAGAGGAAGUGCAGGUCUAACCAAGGAAACAUUCUUUCCUAGAAAAUCGUUGAUGAGCCCAGAAAGAGUUGGCUGAAUAACGGUAACAAUUCUUUUAUUAUUAUUUAACUUAUUAAGUUAUUAGAAAAAGUAAAACAGUGAGUCAAGGUUUUUGGAUUGGAAGAAGGGACCCACUGAGUUCCCUCCAGGAUUGUGGAGUUUCUUUUACAGCCAUAUGUGGAUAAGAAACUAAGGGCCACAGACCAAAUAACAGGUCGGAUGGCAACCCUGGAAAAGUCACACAGCUCAGCCUGUUGGAGGAAGAGGAGCAGUAGAACCUGUGUGGAGCCUGACAGAACCCAAGAUGCCAUUCACGAACCGCGAGGUCUUUCAAGAUCACACACAGUUCUACGACACAGACAUUUCAUCUUCUUGCUACUCAGUAGCGGGGCCCAUCCCUCUGUGCCUCCAAGCUCCGUGCGCCACGUGGAAAACUCAGGUGUUCUGUCUCUGCCAGGACCUUCUUCCUGCUGCUUAUUUAAGUGUCUGCUGCUUCGGGGCCUCAGGUGCCUGCUUUAUCUCUUUCUCCUUUACUAUCAAGUCUUUACUCUAAGCAAUUUGCCAAGACAGAGAAUCUCACUGGCCUGGUGGGGCUGAGCCUUCCUUCACUGGCUGACCAACCGGGAAGUGGGCUGCUGCUUGGAUCAGGUGCGUGCCACAGUUCAUCUAGCCGUGCCCAGAGUUCUAGGGAUAUGCGCAUGACCCCGUGUGUGGGCAGAGGCUCUUAGCAGGGGCCGAGAGCAUUGGAGGCAUCUUGAGGGCCAGAGUCCCCAGCCCCAGAUCACAGAUACAGCAUGAUCAAAAUGUGAGGGAGCAGGGGCAGAGAUUAUUUGGAAUAACGUGCUGAGUUUGUACACUUUUGACAAUUAAAAGCCCUGUGUCCCCCUGAUGUCAUGCACAUGCUCCAGAGGAGCCACUUGGGACAAAGAAUCAAUAAUGGGCGCUUGGUGUGCACUGAAAGCUGAUAGUGUAUAUUUGUGGGGACUAUACAGGGAAAGGAAUAUGAAGCCUUGACAAGAUAUGGUGAGUAUGUAUCAGUGAGGUAGGUAACUCAUUCAUAAGGGACUUUGCAAGGUGGCAACACUGGUUCAAAGAUAUUACGAGAAUAAAGAUUUUGUGUACUCUGAGAACGAAAAGGAAUGCUGACGUAAGAUCACAAAGUUAGAUACUAAACUGGCUAAUGUGCUACAGGGCAGCAAAACUAUAACCUUUGGGGUAAUUUAUCUGACCAGAUAGGAAUCAUUUGCAUCUCUGUAGAACAGAAAAACACUUACCUUUUUUUUUUUUUUUUUUUGAGACAGUAUCUGGCUCUGUCCCCCAGGCUGGAGUGCAGUAGCAUGAUCUUGGUUUACUGCAACCUCCACCUCCUAGGCUCAAGCCAUCCUCCCACCUCAGCCUCCAGAGUAGCUGGGACUACAGGCACACACCACCAUGCCCAGCUAAUUUUUGUAUUUUUUGUAGAGAAGGGGUUUUGCCGCCAUGUUGCACAGGCUGGUCUCAAACUCUUGAGCUCAAGCCCACCUCAGCCUCUCAAAGUGCUGGGAUUAUAGGCGUGAGCUCCCGUACCCAGACAGCACUUACAUUUUAAUAGUUUCUACACAGUACUAUCUCAUGUUAUUUUAUUUUUUUAAAUCGAUAAUGGGAAUCUUGCUAUGUUGCUCACACUAGUCUUGAACUCCUGGCCUCAAGCAAUCCUUCCAUCUUGGCCUCCAAAGUACUAGGGUUACAGGCAUGAGCCGGGGCUCCUGGCCUAACUAAUUUCAGAGUUAAGAACGUUUGGACUCUAUUUUAUAGUAAAAAAUAAGUCAAAGCUACCUUCCCCUAGAUAGCCAAAUGACUCUCAGAUGGGCUCGUUAGACAGUGCUUUAAUUUAAUAUUGAAAGAACUUUUUGCUUCCCCUCCUCCAAGUUUUAAUAAUUCUUAACAGAAACAGCAACAAAAUUUUUGCUGUAGUGGGUAUUAAAGAAGGGAAAACAAUCAUGAAUGCCGGAGUCAAAAUGCCCAAGGAGCGGAGGCACCAGGGUUCUCCACCUGGUUUGGCGGCGCACCAGCAGUGUGACCUGGAAUCUGAUCUCUCUGGAGCUCAGUGUCCUCACCUAUAAAAUGGGGUAUUGAACUACACACUUGGCAGGACUUUGCCCUAAAGCUAAUUUUCAAAAUAAAAUUUAAAAAAAGCCACUUCCCUUUUCCCACAUUAACCCUGAGAGAGGAAGAGGAAGCGGGAAGCCCGCACAUGGAAGCAAUUUACUGCAGACGUUCCUGGGCUGGGAGAGGAGCCUUCUGACUGCUGCAGAGACCAUCACCCGGUCCUGCACCUUUACCGGAGGUGCGGAGAACUGCUCGGCCCGCACCGGGCUCGGGGGUGUUCACGGGCUGCGCUGCCUCCGCUGCGCGCAGGACAGGAGUCUCCGGAGGCCGGUGGUGGAUUUCCUCCCCGCAUCUCACCUCUCAGUCCAAAGUCAAAUUGCUCUUUUCUCCGCCCACGCGGGCGUGGCAGCUGAUAUCCAGCCGCUGGGCGUCCCCGCGCCCCCGGGGGCCCCGCCCUGCAGCUAUCACCGCGGCCCACCCGGCGGCGCCUCCCCGCAGGGCUGCUCCCCAGCCCAAACCGCCGCGGCGCGACGUGGAGCCAGCCCCGCAAAGCUGCAUCCACCCCCGAGGACCAGCCCCUCGAAGGCAAGGCCAGGACCUGCCCGGGCGGCUGCAGCCGUGAGCCACCCCUGUUUUGUGAAACACACACUCUGCCGUUUCAGGCCGCACUUGCCCGUUGCCAUGGGCGUUUUCUAUGUUGCCACAAGCAGGGACACGGAAUCCCUUGACUUUGAGUUGCAGAUCGUGGGUGUUGGCGUCUCCGCUGCGUUACCAGGAAGGAUGGAAGGGGCUUCAGCCUCCAUUCUCACUUUCCUUCUCAAGGAGUUGGCUAAGCAUCAGGAGUUUUCUCUUAGGCUUCUCUCAGGUCCCCUUUCCCUGAGAGGUGAAAAGUUUUUUAGAAAGGUGAGCAGCUUUCUCUUUAUUCCCAGGGACCACUUCACACACCCCUUUUUCGCCUCCAGAGUAGAUGGAACCGUGGAACGAGGGAAUCCUGCCCUCUGGUUGUGUCUGUCAUCUCCUACUGGGACCAGAGCCACAAAAGCCACAGAAGACCCAACUCUCUCCAGCAUGCAGGCAUCCCAACUAGAGGAAGCAAGGAGGCAGAGACCAAGAGGACAUCAAGAGGCGUUUGAACCCGCAGAGAGGGCCUGGCAGCACAAUGCUGAGCCCCUUUGAUUUCAGGAAGCUGUGGACCGUGUUUAGCCUGUGGCUCUGUGUGCCCCUUGGCUGCUGCUUCUGCUUACUCCUGAGGGUGAAGUUGCUAACAUAAGAAACAAGAGUAAUUUGGAUUUGCGCUUCUUGGAGAAAGAAUUGUGCCAUGAAAAAUGGAAAACUCCUGAGAAGCUGUUCCAGCGUCAGGAGAGCAGCAGACAAGCUGGACUGGGGAAGAUUCUUCUGCAAGACCUGCAGAGUGUAUGACACAUAACCAGCACCCAAGAAAUGUCUACCGAGGAAUUAAUGAAUGAGCCAUCUUGUGAUCAUCUGGCAAGACAGCCCAAGAAUAAAGCCGUCACCAUGGAGACUAAGAAGAGACAGAAAGACACUGGGUCUUCAUUGUCUCGUCCAGCUGUUCAUGAGGCCUUAUCUGAAGCCCACGUGACCUCUGGACUUCUCACUUACAUGAGAGAAUAAAGCUCUUUUUUGUUUAGACCAAAUAAAUACAUAAUACAAUUACAU